GACGAACGCUGGCGGCGUGCUUAACACAUGCAAGUCGAACGAUGAAGAAAAGAAUUGAAGCUUCGGCAGAAAUUCAUUUCGGAUUAGUGGCAGACGGGUGAGUAACGCGUGAGCAACCUACCUCUUACAAAGGGAUAGCCUCGGGAAACCGGGAUUAAUACCAUAUAACAUUGCGACGAAGCAUUUCGAUGCAAUCAAAGCUACGGCGGUAAGAGAUGGGCUCGCGUCCCAUUAACCAGAUGGUGAGGUAACGGCUCACCAUAGUAACGAUGGGUAACCGGCCUGCGAGGGUGAACGGUCACACGGGAACUGAGACACGGUGCAGACUCCUACGGGAGGGAGCAGUGGGGAAUAUUGCACAAUGGAGGGAACUCCGAUGCAGCGACGCCGCGGGAGUGAUGAAGGAAGUCGUUUCGUAAAACUCUGUUCUAGGAGAAGAAAAGGACUGUACCAAAGAGGAAAGCUCCGGCUAAAUACGUG
RNAcentral lists this ribosomal RNA (480 nucleotides) under uncultured bacterium. Its description in RNAcentral is "partial 16S ribosomal RNA". It matches the Rfam family "Bacterial small subunit ribosomal RNA", at positions 28 to 507 of the family's 1533-position model. The record is from RNAcentral.